AGGAGCCUAUGGAGCGAAAGUUUCACGUCCGGUUCUGGAGACGAGUGGUUCUAGCGAGGGAAUCACUUAGCUUAAC
Molecule: unclassified non-coding RNA, 76 nt
Filed under: Synechococcus sp. 7002
Lineage: Bacteria; Bacillati; Cyanobacteriota; Cyanophyceae; Synechococcales; Synechococcaceae
Also listed under: 1 other name
Source: RNAcentral